UACAGAGGGUGCAAGCGUUAAUCGGAAUUACUGGGCGUAAAGCGUGCGUAGGUGGUUCUUUAAGUCAGGUGUGAAAUCCCCGGGCUCAACCUGGGAACUGCAUUUGAUACUGAAGAGCUAGAGUGUGGUAGAGGAUAGUGGAAUUCCCGGUGUAGCGGUGAAAUGCGUAGAUAUCGGGAGGAACAUCAGUGGCGAAGGCGGCUAUCUGGACUAACACUGACACUGAGGUACGAAAGCGUGGGUAGCAAACAGG
Molecule: ribosomal RNA, 253 nt
Filed under: uncultured bacterium
Lineage: Bacteria
Description: partial 16S ribosomal RNA
Rfam family: Bacterial small subunit ribosomal RNA
Source: RNAcentral